This 46-nucleotide non-coding RNA is filed under the name Schistosoma haematobium. The record is from RNAcentral. Lineage: Eukaryota; Metazoa; Platyhelminthes; Trematoda; Strigeidida; Schistosomatidae.
GCACUGCUGAGCAGUCCCACAAUUGGACGAAACGGCCGUCCAGUGC